GAUGAACGCUGGCGGCGUGCCUAAUACAUGCAAGUCGAGCGAAGCGGGGACGGGUGAGUAACACGUGGAUAACCUCCUAUAAGACUGGGAUAACUUCGGGAAAACCGAGCUAAAACGGAUACUUAUGGAUGGAUUCGCGGUGCAUUAGCGAGUUGGUAAGGUAAUGGCUUACAAAGGCAACGAUGCAUAGCCGACCUGAGAGGGUGAUCGGCCAAACGGGAACUGGGACACGGUCCAGACUCCAACGGAGGGAAGCAGUAGGGAAUCUUCCGCAAUGGGCGAAAGCCUGACGGAGCAACGCCGCGUGAGUGAUGAAGGUCUUCGGAUCGUAAAACUCUGUUAUUAGGGAAGCGGUACCUAAUCAGAAAGCCACGGCUAACUACGUGCCAGCAGCCGCGGUAAUUC
This 405-nucleotide ribosomal RNA is filed under the name uncultured bacterium. RNAcentral's name for it is "partial 16S ribosomal RNA". It matches the Rfam family "Bacterial small subunit ribosomal RNA", at positions 28 to 526 of the family's 1533-position model. The record is from RNAcentral.